UUUGCGACCAUAUCCAAAGCCCGU
This 24-nucleotide microRNA is filed under the name Strongyloides ratti. RNAcentral describes it as "str-miR-7880l-3p". Lineage: Eukaryota; Metazoa; Nematoda; Chromadorea; Rhabditida; Strongyloididae. The record is from miRBase by way of RNAcentral.